This 800-nucleotide ribosomal RNA is filed under the name Bacillota bacterium. Its description in RNAcentral is "bacterial SSU rRNA". It matches the Rfam family "Bacterial small subunit ribosomal RNA", at positions 63 to 845 of the family's 1533-position model. Lineage: Bacteria; Bacillati; Bacillota. The record is from RNAcentral.
CGAGCGGACAGAAGGGAGCUUGCUCCCGGAUGUUAGCGGCGGACGGGUGAGUAACACGUGGGUAACCUGCCUGUAAGACUGGGAUAACUCCGGGAAACCGGAGCUAAUACCGGAUAGUUCCUUGAACCGCAUGGUUCAAGGAUGAAAGACGGUUUCGGCUGUCACUUACAGAUGGACCCGCGGCGCAUUAGCUAGUUGGUGGGGUAAUGGCUCACCAAGGCGACGAUGCGUAGCCGACCUGAGAGGGUGAUCGGCCACACUGGGACUGAGACACGGCCCAGACUCCUACGGGAGGCAGCAGUAGGGAAUCUUCCGCAAUGGACGAAAGUCUGACGGAGCAACGCCGCGUGAGUGAUGAAGGUUUUCGGAUCGUAAAGCUCUGUUGUUAGGGAAGAACAAGUGCGAGAGUAACUGCUCGCACCUUGACGGUACCUAACCAGAAAGCCACGGCUAACUACGUGCCAGCAGCCGCGGUAAUACGUAGGUGGCAAGCGUUGUCCGGAAUUAUUGGGCGUAAAGGGCUCGCAGGCGGUUUCUUAAGUCUGAUGUGAAAGCCCCCGGCUCAACCGGGGAGGGUCAUUGGAAACUGGGAAACUUGAGUGCAGAAGAGGAGAGUGGAAUUCCACGUGUAGCGGUGAAAUGCGUAGAGAUGUGGAGGAACACCAGUGGCGAAGGCGACUCUCUGGUCUGUAACUGACGCUGAGGAGCGAAAGCGUGGGGAGCGAACAGGAUUAUAUACACUGGUAGUCCACGCCGUAAACGAUGAGUGCUAAGUGUUAUGGGGUUUCCGCCCCUUAUUG